UUUUUUUCAUGUAAUGAA
RNAcentral lists this small nuclear RNA (18 nucleotides) under Arabidopsis thaliana (thale cress). RNAcentral describes it as "snRNA_07791". Lineage: Eukaryota; Viridiplantae; Streptophyta; Magnoliopsida; Brassicales; Brassicaceae. The record is from RNAcentral.